AUAACCGCAUUUCAUAUAGUGUAGAGCUUUUAUGAAACUCGAAAAUCUGCACAAGUCUGCAAUGCAUUAAGGGUAGGGAUGUAGCUUUAAAAUUCCUGUUAAAAUGAUUUAAUCACACUGCCCAUCUGGGUAAUCAAAGUGUCCAUGCAGCUGGCGACGGUCCUUCCUCUUUCUCGGAAAUAACGUUGUAUUUUGGAACUACGGCGUAUUUUGUUUGUUUUUGCCUCCUAUCUGACGGUCAGGCUUGGAAACCUCCCGCCCGGGAAAGGGCACCGUGCUGUCACCGUCAGAUGAAACUCUUCAAAAGAGCCCCCCUUUGCCUCGAUGACAGCAUCGCAGCCUCUUGGCAUUCUCUCAGCCAGCUUCCAGAUGUGGCCACCUGAAUACUUCUCCAACAGUCCUGAAGGAGUUUCCACAAAUUCUGGGCACAAAUUGGUUACCUUGCUCUUACUAUUCAAUGCAGCUCAUCCUAAGCCGGCUCUUUAGGGUUUAGGUUGGGGGGUGUGGGGCCCAGGUCAUCUGUCACAACACUUCAUCUCUUUCUUUGUUCACAGGAUAAUACUUACUACAUGACUUGAGGUGUUGGAGAUCCUCCCCACUGAGAAGAGCGAUGAGAGAUUCUGUCCUCCCUGGUGGGAUCUGCUUAUUAUUCCAGCUCUCGUGGCUGGUGGCUCAUUGUCAGCCAUUGUUCUGCAGCCCCGUCUCCAUGCUAACUUUAAAAGGAGAGAGCAGCUGUUGCAUAACUUUUAAUUUCCUGUCCUGGAGCCUACAAAUCGAGAUAAAUUAUGACUAAUAUUAGCACUCCGCUAUGUGCGGGAAAAUGAGCUGCAGACGUCACGCCCCUUAAAGUUAAAUUGUUGCUGAUUAUGGUCAUUUUGUGCAAUGUUUCCUGUAAACACUGAAAUAAAUACGUACCUAUGCUUUUUAAAUGUAUUAUUCCCUGUAGGUCAAAUCCCGCCAAGUGCUGCUGUGAUCAAUCGUGUUCCCAUGGAUGAAACGCAUUACCCUGACCCCUGUCAACUCUCAUGCUGCAAUUGCGCUCCUUUUCGGUGCCUGUUUAUGUAUUUUAAUUUGUUUUCUUUAAUAAAAC
Brienomyrus brachyistius is the source of this 1090-nucleotide long non-coding RNA. RefSeq lists it as uncharacterized. NCBI's taxonomy places the organism in Eukaryota, Metazoa, Chordata, Actinopteri, Osteoglossiformes, Mormyridae. The record is from RefSeq and is a predicted model, not a curated record. The transcript has 3 exons.